This 253-nucleotide ribosomal RNA is filed under the name uncultured bacterium. RNAcentral describes it as "partial 16S ribosomal RNA". It matches the Rfam family "Bacterial small subunit ribosomal RNA", at positions 524 to 776 of the family's 1533-position model. The record is from RNAcentral.
UACGAAGGGGGCUAGCGUUGCUCGGAAUGACUGGGCGUAAAGGGCGCGUAGGCGGAUGGCACAGUCAGAUGUGAAAUUCCCGGGCUUAACCUGGGGGCUGCAUUUGAUACGUGUUGUCUAGAGUGAGGAAGAGGGUUGUGGAAUUCCCAGUGUAGAGGUGAAAUUCGUAGAUAUCGAGAAGAACACCGGUGGCGAAGGCGGCCAUCUGGACGGUGACUGACGCUGAGACGCGAAAGCGUGGGGAGCAAACAGG